AGUAGCUUUUAAAGCUGGGCCUUAGUGGGACUCUAAAUGCAAUGAAAGCAGUCUGUGUUGAGAGACUGAAAUGCAUUUCAAAGCCAGGCCUGAUUCGGGGUACAAGGAAGAACAGACCUAUGUGCAUUUUGUAGGAAGAAAACUGUGAAUGGAAAAAGGAGAAGGGGAGAGAAACGGGGGAAAUCUGGAUAAUACAUUAAAGUAACCAUAAUUUUGGAGAUGCAUUCAUCUUAUUGAAAAUAUGUACGUAACCAGUGAUACCGAAGUCGGAUAUUUGCUCAAUCAGGAUGCUCAACAAUUUGAGCCUUUAAAGUUUGGAGCUGCAUGGGUUUGUGGAGAAAGUCGGCUCGUGAUAUUUCCUCAUGGUUGUGAUUCCUCUUCACUCUUUUGAAUUUGGAAGGAUGGCAUACACAUCUGAAAAAUACCACUACUUCCUUCAUUGGACUGCAAGGUAUUUCUGUUUGGAAAAGUAAUGGAGUCCAGUCAACUUCAUUGAUCGCCAAGGACUGUCAAAAUUAUAAAACUUGCUGUGGAGCUCUGACAUGCCAGAAGCCGCUAGA
Molecule: long non-coding RNA, 560 nt
Filed under: Homo sapiens (human)
Lineage: Eukaryota; Metazoa; Chordata; Mammalia; Primates; Hominidae
Description: non-protein coding SOX2-OT:12
Source: RNAcentral